This 276-nucleotide ribosomal RNA is filed under the name Triticum aestivum (bread wheat). RNAcentral's name for it is "partial small subunit ribosomal RNA". The record is from RNAcentral. Lineage: Eukaryota; Viridiplantae; Streptophyta; Magnoliopsida; Poales; Poaceae.
AUGUCUCUGGGUGUGUUGAGUUGGAAUGUGAGGGGGUUGAACAACCCCGCGAGGCGUUCGUCUAUUAGACUUUUUAUGCAAUCCUGUAAUGCCGCUCUAGUUUGUCUGCAAGAAUCUAAGCUUGACAGUGUUGAUGCGUCGGUGGUUUGUAAUACCCUUGGGCCAGGGUUCGGUGGUUUUGAGGCUCUGCCGGUGGUGGGCACCCGCGGGGGUAUUUUGAUGGCUUGGAAGCCUGACGUUCUGCGUGUCAUGGUUGUUCACAAAGGCGAGUACUAA